Long non-coding RNA from Brienomyrus brachyistius, 109 nucleotides. RefSeq lists it as uncharacterized. Lineage: Eukaryota; Metazoa; Chordata; Actinopteri; Osteoglossiformes; Mormyridae. The record is from RefSeq and is a predicted model, not a curated record. The transcript is spliced from 3 exons.
CAGGCAUGAGGAGAAUCGUCACACAGGUGGCGCGUCCUUACCUUAGAGCCCUCACCCGGCACAGGCAUGAGGAGAAUCGUCACACAGGUGGUGCGUCCUUACUUUAGAG